Non-coding RNA from Lolium perenne, 568 nucleotides. The record is from RefSeq and is a predicted model, not a curated record. Lineage: Eukaryota; Viridiplantae; Streptophyta; Magnoliopsida; Poales; Poaceae.
AAACUCCCUAGCCGGCCACCUCCACUCCUCUUGCUCUCAUUUUUCUUCUCUCCACUCACUCCUCCACCUUAUCUACUCCCUCACACUCUUCUCCUACUCUCCCCCACGAAAAUGCAGCUCCACCUAGCUCCCAUGGCCGGCCAUGGCCAUGGAAAGAACUCCAAGAUGAAGCUCCCUCCUCCCUCAAGCUCCUCCUCACCAUGAGAGCCUCCCUCUCCUUCUUCUCCCCAACCCUAGAUGGUUUUCUCUCCUCUUCCUCUUCCUCCAUUGCUAAGAUUGGAUCUUGAUGCAGGUGCAUGUUGGUCCAAGCAUGGAGAAGCUUGAGCUAUCCUCAGAUCUGAAGUUCUUGAGCAAAAUCCAAAUCGAGUGAUUCAAAGUUCCGCAGAUAGAUACGGAAAAGAUCUACAACUUGGCGUUGGUCUCAUCCUCAAAUUCGUUACGGAUUGUCCGUGGUGAAAGCCCUCUUCAAUACCUCCAUUUUGGCGGUGGUUUCACUUCGAUUGACCUCCUGAAACUGAAAUGGUUCACAGGUCAAGAUCUGGUCAGAUCUGACUUUGUCGAAUUAAAC